GUUUGAUCCUGGCUCAGAUUGAACGCUGGCGGCAUGCCUUACACAUGCAAGUCGAACGGCAGCACGGACCUCGGUCUGGUGGCGAGUGGCGAACGGGUGAGUAAUAUAUCGGAACAUACCCUAGAGUGGGGGAUAACGUAGCGAAAGUUACGCUAACACCGCAUACGAACUAAGGUUGAAAGUGGGGGAUCGCAAGACCUCAUGCUCAUGGAGUGGCCGAUAUCUGAUUAGCUAGUUGGUGAGGUAAAGGCUCACCAAGGCGACGAUCAGUAGCUGGUUUGAGAGAACGACCAGCCACACUGGAACUGAGACACGGUCCAGACUCCUACGGGAGGCAGCAGCGGGGAAUUUUGGACAAUGGGCGCAAGCCUGAUCCAGCAAUGCCGCGUGAGUGAAGAAGGCCUUCGGGUUGUAAAGCUCUUUUGUCAGGGAAGAAACGGUAGUCUCUAAUACAGAUUGCUAAUGACGGUACCUGAAGAAUAAGCACCGGCUAACUACGUGCCAGCAGCCGCGGUAAUACGUAGGGUGCAAGCGUUAAUCGGAAUUACUGGGCGUAAAGCGUGCGCAGGCGGUUAUAUAAGUCAGAUGUGAAAUCCCCGGGCUCAACCUGGGAACUGCAUUUGAGACUGUAUGGCUAGAGUGUGUCAGAGGGGGGUAGAAUUCCACGUGUAGCAGUGAAAUGCGUAGAUAUGUGGAGGAAUACCGAUGGCGAAGGCAGCCCCCUGGGAUAACACUGACGCUCAUGCACGAAAGCGUGGGGAGCAAACAGGAUUAGAUACCCUGGUAGUCCACGCCCUAAACGAUGUCUACUAGUUGUCGGGACUUAAUUGUCUUGGUAACGCAGCUAACGCGUGAAGUAGACCGCCUGGGGAGUACGGUCGCAAGAUUAAAACUCAAAGGAAUUGACG
This 908-nucleotide ribosomal RNA is filed under the name uncultured bacterium. RNAcentral describes it as "bacterial SSU rRNA". It matches the Rfam family "Bacterial small subunit ribosomal RNA", at positions 11 to 915 of the family's 1533-position model. The record is from RNAcentral.